AUCCAGCUGAUAAGUCCCAGAUGGAACCAAACGCGCUUCCUGGAU
RNAcentral lists this non-coding RNA (45 nucleotides) under Schistosoma mattheei. Lineage: Eukaryota; Metazoa; Platyhelminthes; Trematoda; Strigeidida; Schistosomatidae. The record is from RNAcentral.